GGUGAGCCAGUACGUUGUUUUAGUUUCUCCCACUUGCAGGAAGUGCAUUGAACUUUUUCUUUUAAGCUUUAGAUUCUGCAUUGAAUGUUUUAUUUAGACAAUGUUAAGGUGGGGGUGGGGGUGUGUGUGCAUAUUCAUACAUACGUAUACAUAAUAUGGUUAUGCACACACGAGGACACUAGGAUGACCUGGGAGAUGUUUGGCUUCUGGAGACCUGCCUGAUGACAGCAUCUAAUGAAGUGAGCUUCAGCUCAUGAAAGCUUGUGCUAUAUAUUAUAUAAACUAACCAAAGUGUGUGCGUGCAUGUGUGUCUGUGCGUUCAAUGUUGUGGUGGUCAUGUCUUUUUAGGGAAGGAAAAGUGUAGCAUGGAAAACAUGAGGUUGACCAUCUUCUAGGGCUUGGGGCAGAGCCUGUUCAUUUUCUCUUUUGCUGGAUACCGUAUUGUCUUGCAUAUGACACACCCUGAAGUAUAGCAUGUGCCUUGCUUUUGAAAGUCAGAAUGAAGAAGGAAAAGAUCUUUUCUUGUAAUAAGUAAAUGGAGUAGUGGGAGCUGAGCCUGCCCGUUGUUCUGCUUCCUGUGGAUCGGUGCUGAUUUUACUUUGUUUCGCCUAAAAGCGGCAGAACUUGCGCUUACCUUCUCUCUCGCAUGUAAUCCAGAUUCCAGUUUCCAGCAGCUGUGUUUGUUUGGUUUUUUGUUUUGAAAGGCUUGUUGUAUACCAGAAAAUACGGUAACUGAAGGUUGAGCUAGAUCUGUGUUGGACACUGCCCUCUUGCACGUGGUGAUCUAUUGUAUCAGAAGAUGUAGCUGUGUUUUUUUUAUAGAACCGUUGUAGAAAGUAAAAGUUAAUAUGUGAAGUUUUUUAAUAGGGCAUUUUUUUUUUUUAAGGAGAUAAGCUCAAAAAAACAAAGCUUUAUUGCCUGUUAACAAAGGAACUAGAUUAAAAUUUAAAACCUUGUAGUAAUUUUUCUUGAGUAUUUGAGGUUUAACUGUAUGACGUUCAGCUUGGAUAGCAAAAUUUAAGAUGGUUUGUAGUAACUUUCCAUGUGUUUGGUUUCACUUUUUGUUUUUUAUCUCUUACCUUAUUUCAUACAAUGCAGUUGCACAUAGUGCUUGAGGAAUAUUUACGUAAGCCAUUAUUAUUUUUAUUAAAAAGCAUGUAAAAAUUUUUUUUGAAAAACUUCUAAAGGUUUGGGCCUGUACUUUACCUGGUAGCAUCCUUAAGGUUACAUUUGUUGUAUUUCAGUUAUAAGGUGACUGUUUUAUUUUGGUUGUCACAUGAGUGCUGAGAUGAGUACGAAACUACUGAAUAUUGCUUUUGAUGUGUUGCUUUUUAAAUCCAAGAAGUUGUUAUUGCUUUGGUAGCAGUUGUGUAGUAUUAUAUGGCCUUUAACAUAUGAACGUCUCAAGAAAGGUGUUGAUCUCUGUUUCUAAGUAUUUCUUUUUGUUGUCUAGUUUACAAAUUAUCAGUAUCUAAACAUAGCACCAGCAGGGUACCGGGUGCUUAACAGGGUGGUGCAAAGUCAAGCUUUUUUCCUUCGGGGAACUGCUUCACUAUAUAACAGUGGACAAAUACUAUUGGCAGGGGAGGCAUUUUGGGGUGGGUAAUGACAGACUAGUCAAGUUUUGAGUGCAUCAUGUCAGAUUUGUGACUUUAGAAAAGUUGCCUGGUGUUCAGGAAGACUUUACAGCAAAACAUCUUUUUAGCUUGUGCUGUUGGUGUUUUUUUAGAAACUUGAUAUUUAUUCAGCAAUGGAGUUUACAGCGGUUUGACCAAUCACUUAAUUUACUGCCAAGACAAAAAAAGUUUGACUGUAAGAUGGCUCAUUAGGUCUGGAGGCAACUGGGCUUGAUAAUGGUCAUAACUAACUUUUAAACACUGGGCUUUAAAGUAGAAAAGAAGAUUAUGUAGCAGCAUUACUAUAUUGUUGAUGGGUGUUAAUAUUUGGUUGAGUAGACACUUUUAAAUAUAAUUUUGAUAUUUGUUCUGCUCUCAUUAAAAAGAGAACCUAUAUUUGUUAAUGAACUGAAUCUUGGUAAAGGCUGAGAAAUGUCAUUAACUUCCGUAUAAACUGUAAUUCGCACAUUGACAGAAAACUAAGGUAACAGUAGGGAUCAUUUGAUAAUGUGCCACAAGAACAUGGACUUUUAAAUGAAACUUCAGUGGCAAAAUUGUGCACAUUGGAACGAAUUGUCACAGCAGAACAAUACUUGCCAUGUCAAACACAUCAUGCAGGCACUUACUAAGAGGUCCACUUGUAACGGGGGGCAGAAGUACUUUUUAAAUAUGAUACAGAUAUAGAGAUCUAGUGUAAUAUUUAGAGAGAGAGAGAAAUAUCAACUCAUUGCUGCUUUUGUGUUUGCAAAUAGCUUGAGAGCCAGUAUAAAUGUUAAUUAAGUACUCAGUCCCCUGUGAAUGAAAAUAUUAGUAGUGUGUUAGCUUGCACAACAGAGAUCUAAUUUUACACAUGACUACGCAAAAGCCUUGCUAGUUUGCCAGGUUCCCUACUGUAUGAAUGGGAGAGCCUCUUGCUGAGGUAAAUGGCAUAUUCUCAAAUAUGUUAGUCAGGCUUUAUCAGUUUAUCAACUUGUCAAAUUUUCCUAGUCAAAAUAACAUUUGAGACGAUAACCGUAGGGAUAAGUGCUUUGCAUGACCUUCUGUCUGUGAAUCGGUGAGAAGCAGGUGAUGUAAGUGGUUGGUAAUUUUCGUGAGGGAGCUUUGGAUGACAAAUACGGUAAAUAGUGUGGUGCAUUCAAAACUGGGACCACGAGAAACCUGUGAUGACUUUGACCCCAGUUGCUGAAAAUUGUGCUGCUGCUGCUUCUAAUUUACCCUUUUUCUGUAGUUCUUACUUUUUCUCUUGCUCUUCACAUAUUCAGGGGUGUAGGACGGCUUCCAAGAUGCUCUCCCGUUCCUUUUAAGGUGGCAUGGAUGGGGAGGCUUUCUGAGCUGGAUGCUGCCAUGGUUCGUCUUUUGUCUGCUCCUUAUAUUUGUAUUCUUCCCACUGCUCUGAAACCCCUUUCAUCUUAUUUGACUCUUUCACUUGUAUUAAUGAGCUGGGCCUGCUUUGAAGACUCUCUUUUGACAUGGGGGCUUAUUAAUAUCGUUCUGUUGUACCGAACACUUGGAUUCUGACAGUAAAAAUGGUUAGAGAGUUGGCUCGGAUUCCAGUUUGGGAUAUAACUUACAAAAGAAGUAACAAAAAUGUGCUACUGUGUUUUCACUGAAGGUGCUAUGAAGUUGCAUGUUUUUGAAUCUAUAAAUCUCUUUCUAUGCUUGCUAUUUUUUCAUUAAAGAGAGCUUAGACUAGAGGUAAUUACUUAGAAUACCUACAGGUGUAUGCAGGACUCGACUUCAUACGUGUGUGGCUUUGCUUUAGUUUGCGCCUUUGAGAUGGUACAUAGUACUACGCAGAGCUGUAAAGUUGCCUUAAGUUGUUGCUUGGGAUUGCCAUGUUUCAUAACAAAGACGUUGCUGUAUAACUUUGUAUACUCUACAACCCCUUUUUAGCUCCUUUUAUUUUGCAUUCUUUGAAAUUCUUGAUUGUAUAUACAGCAGGGUGCAUGUUUUAGUUCCUUCCCAUCCCCCUUUCCAUCCACUUUGCCCCUCCCCCCCAAAUGCUGACAUCACUUACAGGUGUGAAGUUUGUUAGUUCUCAGAGCUUGCAAUUCUAGCAAUUUCAGAGGCUUGAAGGCGUAAAAAGUUUGCAGAAUGGGUUCUAACUUAAUUGUUGUCUUGAAGAAACUAAAGAGGCAACUUGAGCUUGACAUGCAUCUAAAUGGGAAAAUGUAUCUGAAGCUGGAACUUUCCUUAACCUAGCACCCAGGCAGCAGAACUUCCAAGAGCAAGAAGAUAAAAUUCAUCCUGGAUGAAUCCAAAUGGGAAGUAAGGUGUAGAAAUUUAGCAGUAAUUAACUAUUAGAAUGGUUUACCACAUGAUGUAGAGCAGGGGGUAUCAAACUCAUUAGGCCCAGCGGGCCAGAUGAAUGACAUGGAACUGAUCUGCGGGUUGGAUUGGGCCCACAGGCUGGCCCCAUAUGCUAGAUCCAGUGCACAAGGUGGUUCAGGAUGGGUGCUGCGAGCAUCCCUGGCCCUGCACACAGGGCUGGUCUAUCUGGCUUGUACUGUGCCUGGCAUGAGGGCCCAGUGUAAAGCCCGCAGGCAGCACAGCAGGCUGUAUAAUAGGGCUCUGUGGGCUGAUCUGGCCCAUGGGCCAUAUCUUUGACAACCCUGAUGUAGAUGUUUCUCUCUGUUGGAGUUUUUUCCAUAGAAUUAUAGCAACUGUACAUUAAACUCUACAUUGUUUCCUAUAGAAAAUGUAUUCAAACAGAGUCAUGACUUACUGGGCUGGAUGUAGAGAUCGUUGAUUGAAAUUUUGUGUCUCUGGCUUUCUUCAGGAGAGAUCAAACUAUAUUAUUAAUAUUCUAGUAAGAACCUUCACAGUAGUAGAGUAGAUAUGUGCAGCACUAAGCACUGCCAAAGAAGUGUUACCUGUUUUGGCCAAUAGCUUGCACUUAAGGUGUGUUGUUUGUAUCUAUAGGAAUCUGAACUUUUGCUGGAUGACAUCUUUUCACAUAAAAAGACAAGUUUGACAUCCCUUCUUGUUGUUAGUGUUUCUAAUGUUGGACAACAUUUACUUGUAGAAGUGUGUAGCUUGCGGUACAAUGCCUGGAUCCUCUGGUAUCAGUUAAGAACCAAACAGGUGAUUAAGGCAGAUGACCUAACUAACCUCCAUGUCCUAAAAAAUGCACUAAGUAUUUAAGUUUUCUCUGAACAUUAUAUUUAUGCUGCAAUUAAUGUACACCCAAUUUAAGAUGCCUUAAAAUGACAAACCAGCCAUAAAAAUGUUCCAUGUUUAAUGUAGGACACUUUUAUGGAUGGUUUUCAUAGUGCCUUAAAUUGAACCUGUGGCAUGUCCAGAGCUCUCCCAAGGCCAAUUAACAAUUGACAGCAGGGUCUCAAACUGGCUCUGGUGUGGUCCUGAGGCCAGGGUUGACACUUGGCUGAUUGUCAGCUCCAGACCCACACUGGGUUACGUUGCGUGGGCACCAAAUUUUCAACUUGCUGGUGCAGACGAAGCCUAGGAUCAUGAUGCUAGGCUCCCUCAGCACUAGCAACUAGAAAGGAUGCAAUUUGGAUCUGAUCCAUGAUCCCAAAAUCAUGUCUCUUGCUAUGCCUCAUGGCAUUGGGGUCAUAUCCCAUGGUGCUUUUAAAUGAACGUGAGCCAGGAGCCUUAAAUAUGCCAUUUUCAUCCACUGUGGAUUUCAAAUAUGUGAGCUCCAGUUCAAUACAUACAGCUAUUUACACCUUUCUAGAAAUGUAAAUACAUAUCUAUGUCAUCCAUGCUUGUGGAUCCUGCCAAAUUCUAGAAUAUCCUCAUGGAAUACCUUAACUCUGCUUCCUAAUAAACAUUUGUAGUUUUUUAAAUAAAAACAGGUAUUAGACAAGAGGAUUGAAGCUUCAAAUCCGUACCCAGUUAGUUGUUUGAAGCAGUAAUUUAAACACACAAUAAUGAAUGCUUAGAAGAUCAGAAUAGGCUCUAACCAGCAUGAUUUUUGUAAAGGAAAAAUUGUGUUUCACUAAUCUGUUAAUAUGAUUAAGCUGAAGGAGAAUUUUAGCUAUCCUAACUGGUCAAAUGUCAGAACAGGGUAAAGUUCCAAGAAACAGGCUUUAAAGAGAUUACUUCCUAGAAUGACCAGUCCUUGAGAAUAUGGGAGAAGUUAGUGACAAGCCCUUAGUAGACUAUUCUUGAAAGAUAUUUCAUAUUUACUUGUGAAGAGAAACAGAUUCAGUCUGUAGAAUGCCAAGAUGUACAAGAUACUGGAUAUUGGUCCUGAUGAAGAAGAGCUCUGUUCAGAAGCAGUCCAGAGUCACAGUUGAGGAAGGAGCUCCUGUAGGAUUGUAAAAAUGCCAGGAGAGUGACAAGAUCUGAUGGAGCCUGCAAGACCUGCAUUUCCUAUAAGGAGAGCUCAACAGGAUCUGUUCUCUUGAGAGAGCCUUCUGAUGAUCCAGGACAUGGUCUGGACCAGCACUGAAAUCACUUUAGACGGGGCCCUAAACAGAAGGAAGCCUAUUACAAGUAUUCAAGAUCUCUUCUGUGUGCAAACUGCCAGUGUAAACAUAGUACCAGAAGAAACCUAGGAAUCCAGGCAGAGAACCAGCCUCAGUGUGCAAGGAGAGAACUGCUUUCAUACAGAACAUACAGGAGUGUUAUCCAUGGCUGAAUACUUGACAAAUCACCAAGGGAAGAGAGGAUGUAUUUAGUGACUUCAUGGCAACAUCCCAGCAGAGGCAGAAGGCUAACGCUUUCCUUCAUCAUGUUACCAAGGAGCACAGGGAACUGCUAAAGAAGUUCAUUAACAAAGAGCCCAGAUGUUAGGGCAGAUGAUGUAGAGGUAGACAAUCCUGCUAACAAAUUUAAUGCUGCUUUUGUUAAUUUUUGCCUGCAGCCUAGUUGCAUCCCGUAGCCCCACGAAAACAUUGGGUAGUAGGAGUGUUCUUUGCCUUCCCCAGCUUCAAAGAACAAACCACUUCUCCAGCCCUAGCUCUAUUUACACAAUAGUGUUUACCCGUCUUUUACACAUCCCGGUGAUCUCAAAUGUGUGUCCAGAGCAUUUUAGGCAUAUUUGUUACAGUCCCAUUGCGUUCAGUAAUCUAGGCUGGGCUCAGGCAGCUGGAGAAGGAAUCCAUUAGAGUUCUUAGACAAGGAGUUUUUAAGUGGGCACUGCUAUGUUCAAUAAAGGCGUUUAUUAUUUACA
This is a long non-coding RNA of Alligator sinensis (Chinese alligator), 6756 nucleotides long. RefSeq lists it as uncharacterized. Lineage: Eukaryota; Metazoa; Chordata; Crocodylia; Alligatoridae. The record is from RefSeq and is a predicted model, not a curated record. The transcript has 2 exons.